UUGGGUCAGACAUGCUGACUGUCAGAACAGCAGGACAGCCUCCUCAAACAGCGACUAAUCUGCUAAAUAAGGAAUGUUAGAAAGUAUGAAACCAGUUUGAUACAGCUCCACAUAAGUAAGACAGAAAAUGUUUUCACAAAAGAGUACCUUCAACCAAAACCUGUACCAAGUUGUCAAUACUUAAGAAGUGCUGAUAUGUAAGAGCAGAUACACACACACUGUGGGAUGGAACAAAGUGCUGGACACAGCUCUUCAACCAAGCCUCCAGGGAUCACAUAGUACACAGAACCCAAUGCUCCCAGGGUAUGCUGUUACCAGCCGUAGAGGGACACCCAGACGUACAGCUUCCCCUUGCAACAGCGAGACACCAGAAUCAGGACAGCACAUCAUCUUACCGGAAGGAUAUUAGCAUUCCCGCUAUGAUGUUUAGCGGGCUGCUGCGCCCUGCCUGAUUUGAAACUGACAAAAUGUGCCUAGCCCUUUUGGAUGUGCCCUGGUACCCAACUAGCCGCCAGCUUGGCCGCUGUGCCCCGCCUCCCUGUGAACUUGGUUCCUUCCUUCCAGCUCCGGCACCGAGCGUGCUUCCCCUCUGCCGGUCAAGCCCAUUUAGAAAAGCAAGGAUGCUUGCUUGUGGCUGCCCAGCAGAUUGAAAGAUACCAGCCAGCCCCUAAUGCCAGGGGUUUCACUGUACUCACUUGUGACAUAGUUGGUGUCUUUACUGUAGUAAUUAAUAGUGUAAAAACAUGGCCAGAUUAAUGUUUGUUGGGGCCCCAGAAUAAACAACUUGUGGGGGCCCCAGCCCCCUACCAAUAAAACUGUAACUAUGA
Pseudophryne corroboree (corroboree frog) is the source of this 827-nucleotide long non-coding RNA. RefSeq lists it as uncharacterized. The record is from RefSeq and is a predicted model, not a curated record. The transcript has 3 exons. NCBI's taxonomy places the organism in Eukaryota, Metazoa, Chordata, Amphibia, Anura, Myobatrachidae.